CACGUAGGGUGCGAGCGUUGUCCGGAAUUAUUGGGCGUAAAGAGCUCGUAGGCGGUGUGUCGCGUCGGCCGUGAAAACCUGCAGCUUAACUGUGGGCGUGCGGUCGAUACGGGCAUCACUGGAGUUCGGCAGGGGAGACUGGAAUUCCUGGUGUAGCGGUGAAAUGCGCAGAUAUCAGGAGGAACACCGGUGGCGAAGGCGGGUCUCUGGGCCGAUACUGACGCUGAGGAGCGAAAGCGUGGGGGGCGAACAGG
RNAcentral lists this ribosomal RNA (254 nucleotides) under uncultured bacterium. RNAcentral's name for it is "partial 16S ribosomal RNA". It matches the Rfam family "Bacterial small subunit ribosomal RNA", at positions 524 to 776 of the family's 1533-position model. The record is from RNAcentral.